AAUGUGUUGAACUGAGUGAAGACA
This 24-nucleotide microRNA is filed under the name Glycine max (soybean). Its description in RNAcentral is "gma-miR9741". The record is from miRBase by way of RNAcentral. Lineage: Eukaryota; Viridiplantae; Streptophyta; Magnoliopsida; Fabales; Fabaceae.